GGUCUUAUAUUUACAUUUUGUAAUUAUAGAAUGCAAUUCUAUAGGGGCGGUGUUUGAUCGCUAAGGCUU
Molecule: transfer RNA, 69 nt
Filed under: Anacanthotermes sp.
Lineage: Eukaryota; Metazoa; Arthropoda; Insecta; Blattodea; Hodotermitidae
Description: tRNA-Cys
Source: RNAcentral